GGGGCUGUAGCUCAGUGGUAGAGUACUCGUCUCUCAUGUGUGAGACACUGGGUUUGAUCCUUAGCCCCA
Non-coding RNA from Ictidomys tridecemlineatus (thirteen-lined ground squirrel), 69 nucleotides. NCBI's taxonomy places the organism in Eukaryota, Metazoa, Chordata, Mammalia, Rodentia, Sciuridae. The record is from Rfam.